UACAGAGGGGGCAAGCGUUGUUCGGAAUUACUGGGCGUAAAGGGCGCGUAGGCGGCCUGUUAAGUCGAACGUGAAAGCCCUGGGCUCAACCCAGGAAGUGCAUUCGAAACUGCAGAGCUGGAGUCCUGGAGAGGAAGGCGGAAUUCUCGGUGUAGAGGUGAAAUUCGUAGAUAUCGAGAGGAACACCGGUGGCGAAGGCGGCCUUCUGGACAGUGACUGACGCUGAGACGCGAAAGCGUGGGGAGCAAACAGG
RNAcentral lists this ribosomal RNA (253 nucleotides) under uncultured bacterium. RNAcentral's name for it is "partial 16S ribosomal RNA". It matches the Rfam family "Bacterial small subunit ribosomal RNA", at positions 524 to 776 of the family's 1533-position model. The record is from RNAcentral.